AUUGAACGCUGGCGGCAUGCCUUACACAUGCAAGUCGAACGGCAGCACGGGUGCUUGCACCUGGUGGCGAGUGGCGAACGGGUGAGUAAUACAUCGGAACAUGUCCUGUAGUGGGGGAUAGCCCGGCGAAAGCCGGAUUAAUACCGCAUACGAUCUACGGAUGAAAGCGGGGGCCCGUCGGGCCUCGCGCUAUCGGGAUGGCCGAUGGCUGAUUAGCUAGUUGGUGGGGUAAAGGCCUACCAAGGCGACGAUCAGUAGCUGGUCUGAGAGGACGACCAGCCACACUGGAACUGAGACACGGCCCAGACUCCUACGGGAGGCAGCAGUGGGGAAUAUUGGACAAUGGGCGAAAGCCUGAUCCAGCAAUGCCGCGUGUGUGAAGAAGGCCUUCGGGUUGUAAAGCACUUUUGUCCGGAAAGAAAACCUUGACCCUAAUACGGUCGGGGGAUGACGGUACCGGAAGAAUAAGCACCGGCUAACUACGUG
RNAcentral lists this ribosomal RNA (486 nucleotides) under uncultured bacterium. RNAcentral describes it as "partial 16S ribosomal RNA". It matches the Rfam family "Bacterial small subunit ribosomal RNA", at positions 29 to 507 of the family's 1533-position model. The record is from RNAcentral.